GACGAACGCUGGCGGCGUGCUUAACACAUGCAAGUCGAGCGGUAAGGCCCUUUCGGGGGUACACGAGCGGCGAACGGGUGAGUAACACGUGGGUGACCUGCCCUCAGCUCUGGGAUAAGCCUGGGAAACCGGGUCUAAUACUGGAUAUGACUCCAUGACGCAUGUUGUGGGGUGGAAAGCCUUGUGCGGCUGAGGAUGGGCCCGCGGCCUAUCAGCUUGUUGGUGGGGUGANGGCCUACCAAGGCGACGACGGGUAGCCGGCCUGAGAGGGCGACCGGCCACACUGGGACUGAGACACGGCCCAGACUCCUACGGGAGGCAGCAGUGGGGAAUCUUGCGCAAUGGGCGAAAGCCUGACGCAGCGACGCCGCGU
This 373-nucleotide ribosomal RNA is filed under the name uncultured bacterium. RNAcentral's name for it is "bacterial SSU rRNA". It matches the Rfam family "Bacterial small subunit ribosomal RNA", at positions 28 to 402 of the family's 1533-position model. The record is from RNAcentral.